This 486-nucleotide ribosomal RNA is filed under the name uncultured bacterium. RNAcentral's name for it is "bacterial SSU rRNA". It matches the Rfam family "Bacterial small subunit ribosomal RNA", at positions 10 to 507 of the family's 1533-position model. The record is from RNAcentral.
AGUUUGAUCAGUGGCUCGAGGACGAACGCUGGCGGCGUGCUUAACACAUGCAAGUCGAACGGUGAAGGAGAGCUUGCUCCCGGAUCAGUGGCGAACGGGUGAGUAACACGUGGGCAACCUGCCCCAGACUUCGGGAUAACGCUUCGAAAGAGGUGCUAAUACCGGAUACGAACUCCUUGGGCAUCCCGGGAGUUAGAAAGUUUUUUCGGUCUGGGAUGGGCCCGCGGCCUAUCAGCUUGUUGGUGAGGUAACGGGCUCACCAAGGCGACGACGGGUAGCCGGCCUGAGAGGGCGACCGGCCACACUGGGACUGAGACACGGCCCAGACUCCUACGGGAGGCAGCAGUGGGGAAUAUUGCGCAAUGGGCGAAAGCCUGACGCAGCAACGCCGCGUGAGGGAUGACGGCCUUCGGGUUGUAAACCUCUUUCAGCAGGGAAGAAGCGAAAGUGACGGUACCUGCAGAAGAAGCACCGGCUAACUACGUG